Molecule: ribosomal RNA, 382 nt
Filed under: Ephedrus incompletus
Lineage: Eukaryota; Metazoa; Arthropoda; Insecta; Hymenoptera; Braconidae
Description: partial 16S ribosomal RNA
Rfam family: Bacterial large subunit ribosomal RNA (bases 2-149)
Source: RNAcentral
UCACCUGUUUAACAAAAACAUGUCUUAUAGAAAAUAAUUUUAAGUCAAAUCUGCCCAAUGAAAAUUUAAUGGCUGCAGUAUCAAUAACUGUACAAAGGUAGCAUAAUAAAUAGUUUUUUAAUUAAAAACUAGAAUGAAUGAUUUAAUGAAAUAUAAACUAUAUAAAAAUAAUUAAAAUUUAAACUUAAAUUUUAAGUAAAAAUUCUUAAAUUUAAUUAAUAGACGAUAAGACCCUAUAGAAUUUUAUAAUAAUAUAUUUAAAAAAAUAAAAUAUUAUUUAAUUGGGGUAAUUUUAAAAUUAUUUAAACUUUUAAUAUUAAAACAUAAAUUAAUGAUUAAAAAUCCUAAAUUUUAGAAUUUAAAAACAAAUUACCUUAGGGAU